UGCUUGUCUGAAGAGCCAUGGCCACUUUCCACUUGGCCCUCAUCCAGCUUCAAAUUUCUUCCAUCAAAUCAGAUAACGUCACUCGAGCUUGUAGCUUUAUCCAGGAGGCAGCAACGCAAGGAGCCAAAAUAGUUUGCCAGAAUGCUUUAAUUCUCCAUAUGGAACGAAAUAUUUUCCUGAAUAUGCAGAGAAAAUUCCUGGUGAAUCCACACAGAAGCUUUCUGAAGUAGCAAAGGAAUGCAGCAUAUAUCUCAUUGGAGGCUCUAUCCCUGAAGAGGAUGCUGGGAAAUUAUAUAACACCUGUGCUGUGUUUGGGCCUGAUGGAACUUUACUAGCAAAGUACAGAAAGAUCCAUCUGUUGACAUUGAUGUUCUUGGAAAAAUUACAUUUCAAGAAUCUAAAACGUUGAGUCCGGGUGAUAGUUUCUCCACAUUUGAUACUCCUUACUGCAGAGUGGGUCUGGGCAUCUGCUACGACAUGCGGUUUGCAGAGCUCGUACAAAUCUAGCACAGAGAGGCUGCCAGCUGUUGGUAUAUCCAGGAGCUUUUAAUCUGACCACUGGACCAGCCCACUGGGAGUUGCUUCAGCGAAGCCGGGCUGUUGAUAAUCAGGUGUAUGUGGCCACAGCCUCUCCUGCCCGGGAUGACAAAGCCUCCUACGUUGCCUGGGGACACAGCACCAUGGUGAACCCUUAGGGGGAGGUCCUAGCCAAAGCUGGCACAGAAGAAGCAAUCGUGUAUUCAGACAUAGACCUGAAGAAGCUGGUUGAAAUACGCCAGCAAAUCCCCGUUUUUAGACAGAAGUGAUCAGACCUCUAUGCUGUGGAGAUGAAAAAGCCCUAAAGUUUACGUUUCUAAUGUGUCACAGAACAGGAAGAUAUGAUUCUACAACAAAAUCAACUCCCUAUUAAA
Mandrillus leucophaeus (drill) is the source of this 911-nucleotide RNA transcript. It is a transcript of the gene named omega-amidase NIT2-like, with no coding region annotated. Lineage: Eukaryota; Metazoa; Chordata; Mammalia; Primates; Cercopithecidae. The transcript has a single exon. The record is from RefSeq and is a predicted model, not a curated record.